AAAACCUUUGUGCUUUUGAAACUCGCUCUCUCUCCCUGGCAUCUCACAGCUGCGUCAGUGCAGAUCUACUGAAGUACCAUGCUACCUUCAAGACAAUCAGAGCAUUAUGACUACUAUCAACAAAGGAAACCUGAUUUGGCUGGUUAAGGAUGCAACUGAGAGGCCUUUGAUUUGAAAUGAACUCCCAAUAAACAUGGUAAACUUGAAGUGACAUGAUCCCUAAGCAUACUACAGUAUUUUGUUCUGAGACGGAAAAGCCUUGGAGUGUCAAAAACAACAGCACAACUCCACGUGUAUUUUGCCACUAUCUGCUGAAGAGAAGAGUAAUAUCAAGAAUAACAUGACCAGAUUCCUGUAUGUAAAGAUCAACUGACCAAGGGCAAAAAAGUUAUACAACUUUCUCAGUUGUCUACAGAUGCCAGUUACCUUCUGACUCCAACCCCAUCGUGUUUCCCACUGUUUCUAACAUAAAAGGAGCUCAGAUCUCAUGCUUGACUAAUAGGCGUAUUGUGUGGCAAGCAGAAGGAGCUUGGACUCAGUUACAAGGCAAUUUAUGAUUUAUUGUGCAUAUCUGAAAUUAAAAGCCAGAAGCAAACAAUUAUUUUAACAAGCUGUCAAGAUAUGCAGAGUUUUGCCAAAGAAACAUUGUUUAUACUGGUCUUUUGAACAAGAACUAAAACUUAGAAUUCCCUAAUCAAACCUGUUACACAAAAUUGUCAUAAAAUUCCUAUAAAGCAUAUGACUCACAAAUGCUAUCAAAAUCUUUCUUAAAUGUGACUGAUUUCCAAUAGAUUACCACAGUUUUAAAACUCUGAUAAUUUCCUGCCCAUUUUUCUUUAAGAUUUUAUUUUCUAUUGCUUGAAAAGAGAGGACAAAAGAGCAUCACAGGAUUAUCUACUAUUAUUAUUGAAUUUUCUUACAAUCUUGAAAAAAUACCCAACUGUUGACUUCCUGUUCCUCUGCCACUAAUCUCCCUGUGGCAGGCGCAACUCCAAUUCUCCAGAGUUGUAGGGGAAGGGAAAGAAAUCUAAAUAACAGGCUGCUACCAUUCUCUAAUUCAAAGCCAACUUACUACUCUUUUUAUUUACUGCUAUCAUCUCCUCCUCCAAUAGUCCUGAGUCCCCUUGACACCAAUCUUUUCUAUAGCACUUAUCUCCUAAUAUACCACAUAAUUCACAUUUUAAAUAUAUAUGUAUUUAAUUAUAUAUAUAAUAUAUUUAACUGUAUCUAUUUAAAUAAAUUAAAUAAAUUAUAGUA
This is a long non-coding RNA of Felis catus (domestic cat), 1257 nucleotides long. RefSeq lists it as uncharacterized. The record is from RefSeq and is a predicted model, not a curated record. The transcript has 4 exons. Lineage: Eukaryota; Metazoa; Chordata; Mammalia; Carnivora; Felidae.